Molecule: unclassified non-coding RNA, 240 nt
Filed under: soil metagenome
Description: partial contains 5.8S ribosomal RNA, internal transcribed spacer 2, and large subunit ribosomal RNA
Source: RNAcentral
AACUGAUACUACCUGCGGGAACCUGCGGAAGGAUCAUUACAUGGCGGAGGAGGUGGGCACCUAGUAAAACAAAACCCUAGGUGUGUUGCCUACCACGCUUUCUACCCUUGUCUAUUUGCACCUUUUGUCGUUCCCUCGGUGGGUCUUGAACCUGCCGGCGGCAACUUUCAAAAACCUUUUGUAGUUAGUAUCUAAUUCUUCUGAUCAAAUAUUCAAUCGUUACAACUUUCAACAAUGGAU